Molecule: ribosomal RNA, 640 nt
Filed under: Clitocybula oculus
Lineage: Eukaryota; Fungi; Basidiomycota; Agaricomycetes; Agaricales; Porotheleaceae
Description: eukaryotic LSU rRNA
Source: RNAcentral
UAGGGUUGAGCUGGCUUCUAGGAGUAUGUGCUUGCCCUAUCGGUUUUUCUACUCUCCACUGUGCACCUUUUUGUAGGCUAUGAUAACYCCUCAGUUCUCUUUGGACUGGAUAAGAGAACUUGCAAAUAGCUUGAUCUCACUUUCAUAGCCUAUGUUCAUAUACACACUCUGUAUCAAGUCUUUGAAUGUAAUCUUGUUGGUCUCUUUGAUGGACCGAUAAAACUUAUAAUACAACUUUCAGCAACGGAUCUCUUGGCUCUCGCAUCGAUGAAGAACGCAGCGAAAUGCGAUAAGUAAUGUGAAUUGCAGAAUUCAGUGAAUCAUCGAAUCUUUGAACGCACCUUGCACUCCUUGGUAUUCCGAGGAGUAUGCCUGUUUGAGUGUCAUUAACUUCUCAAACCUUUCAAGUUUAUUGGAAAGGCUUUGGAUGUGAGGGUUUUGCUGGUACACUUCUUGUAUAUGNAUCAGCUCCCUUGAAAUGCAUUAGUGGUUACUUGGUCCACUUUCAUCUGGUGUGAUAGUUAUCUACGCCUUUGAAAUGAUCACUUUGCUAUCCGCUUCUAACUAGUCUAUCUUUUAUAGACUCUUGACCAAUUUGACCUCAAAUCAGGUAGGACUACCCGCUGAACUUAAGCAUAUC